This 463-nucleotide ribosomal RNA is filed under the name uncultured Bacilli bacterium. RNAcentral's name for it is "bacterial SSU rRNA". It matches the Rfam family "Bacterial small subunit ribosomal RNA", at positions 209 to 663 of the family's 1533-position model. Lineage: Bacteria; Bacillati; Bacillota; Bacilli. The record is from RNAcentral.
CAGCUACCACUUACAGAUGGACCCGCGGCGCAUUAGCUAGUUGGUGAGGUAACGGCUCACCAAGGCGACGAUGCGUAGCCGACCUGAGAGGGUGAUCGGCCACACUGGGACUGAGACACGGCCCAGACUCCUACGGGAGGCAGCAGUAGGGAAUCUUCCGCAAUGGACGAAAGUCUGACGGAGCAACGCCGCGUGAGUGAUGAAGGUUUUCGGAUCGUAAAACUCUGUUGUUAGGGAAGAACAAGUACCGUUCGAAUAGGGCGGCACCUUGACGGUACCUAACCAGAAAGCCACGGCUAACUACGUGCCAGCAGCCGCGGUAAUACGUAGGUGGCAAGCGUUGUCCGGAAUUAUUGGGCGUAAAGCGCGCGCAGGCGGUUUCUUAAGUCUGAUGUGAAAGCCCCCGGCUCAACCGGGGAGGGUCAUUGGAAACUGGGGAACUUGAGUGCAGAAGAGGAGAGUG